This is a non-coding RNA of Rattus norvegicus (Norway rat), 9153 nucleotides long. The record is from RefSeq and is a predicted model, not a curated record. NCBI's taxonomy places the organism in Eukaryota, Metazoa, Chordata, Mammalia, Rodentia, Muridae.
CCCUCUUAAAGAACGGCCUUGUUUGGGCUAUGGGCCUGGUGGACACUCAAAGCUGACUUUCUCGAGGAUUUUGGCGGCUAUUCGAAAGAUUACUCCUUAUUCUCCCCUACAGAUCAUUUUAUCUGGUCCAUAUGUUUCUACUCCUGUGGAUAACUUGUAGCUUACUUACAGCCUCUCUUUCUGUUCCCAGAAGUCGGAGUCUUUUUCUGAGUAGAUCUCCUCCACGUGGGCGACAUCCGAUCCAGCGAAGAAAGCUCGUUCGGGCGUGGCAAUCCUACCGACUUCACUAAAGGCCUGUACCCUGAUUCCCCAUCCCCAACCCUAUCCCUUCCUGGCUGGACCAUAGUCAGGCAGCAUCCUUUGCAUCUGGACGCUGUAGAAAAAUGGUCAUUUUAGCCUCUCUAGAAGGUGAUUUUAGCCUCUCUAGAAGGUGUCUUAGAAGCCCGGGGAGGACGGGCACUUUUUCCUCAGUAGUCUCCCCAUAAGCGGAAUGAGGAUUCUCCUGUGUAACAUUGCUCUCCAAGAGUCUGCAGGGUUCCAGAGACUGAAGUUUCACACUGGCAUCUUGGACCUGGUGGGAGUUGGUUUUGUGCAGAGGAAGCGAGACCAUUACAGAGAAUCACAACUGGUCCAAGUGCAGAAAACAGGUUGACUAUGGAGUGCCCAUCCCCCAGUGGGGUACCUGAAACAUGAUACUCGGCCAAGGCACAUACAGGAAGAGACAACAGAGAGCUUGUAGGAGUCAGAAGACUGGGAGAACUGCUGUGAAACAGUGUCUUCUGGACAUGACGGGGAUGUCACAUCCAUUAACCCCCAACAAUAUGGUUACAUGAACAAGACCACACCAGUCAACAUGGUGGGUGCCCAUAAGGCCCCACCACAAGGGAAGAGCUAUAGGCAGUUGGUGUCUGCUGAGGGAGAGAAGGUCAGUUUUCUUUAGGGGCAAGCUGUCUCCCAGUAGGUUACGCAUUCCCUAGUGGUCUAGCCUAGGCCAAAUCUAUAUAAGCAAUACUAACUGGACUCAUUCAAAUUGUGUGUGUGUGUGUUUGUGUGUGCAUAAUUGUGUGUGUAAUUGUGUAUGUGUGCAUAUUUGUAUAUGUACAUGUUUUUGUGUGUGUGCAUGUAUGUGUUUGUGUGUGCAUGCAUGUUUGUGUAUGUUGGUAUGAUUAUAGAAAAAAGGGACACGAAUUUGAGACAGGGUUAUUAGGGAGGACAUGGAAGUGAGGGCAGUGCUUAUGUAUGAAAAGCUAAAAAUAAAAUCUGUGGGAUCUGAGUCAGAAAUUCCUUAGUAAAAAAAUCUGCACACAGUGAUCCAGUUUUGGAAAUAUCUUAAAAUCUGUUUAUUCUGGUACAACUUAUAUUUCAGUACCCCUUCACCCAAUGUAACCUUAGGUAUCCUAUCAGGAAGCCACAUUUACGGAGGUCACAUUUUGAACACUCUGUCUCUCACAUUAGGAGCCUCUCUGGGGAAGAGCUGAUUGUUGGAAAAUGACAGAUAGUCCGUGCUAUGUUAUGGAUACAAAUGCCAUGGUAUAUGGUCUAUAAUAUUUUUUUUACUUUUUAAAAUUUUUUUAAAAGUUUUUUACAGUCCAUAAUUAAUUCUAUUAUUUAUAUAAGUAAAAUUGGCUCCACGUGUAGCAUCAGAGAAGCAAGUAUGCAGAAUUAAAUGAAUACAAUAAACCUACCUACAUAAUGAGGACCCAAAGCAAGGAAGAGAACAUUAGCGGCUACAAGCAGCCACAUCAUAAGCAGCUUGCUUGGGUUUCCCCAGAAUGAACAACGUGACCAUCAACGCCACGGGCCACUCUUUUCUUUGAGGUGAAACCUUCUGUGUCCAGCAGGUUCUUUUUUUUUUUUUUUUUUUUUUGGUUCUUUUUUUCCGGAGCUGGGGACCGAACCCAGGGCCUUGCGCUUCCUAGGCAAGCGCUCUACCACUGAGCCAAAUCCCCAGCCCCCGUCCAGCAGGUUCUUAAGUUUAUCCAUAGUGUUGCUUCAAUGAGGAGACUAUCUGUUCUCAUUUCCGGGUAGCCAUCAUAUGGAAACCCACCUCAGACAUCUAAGAUUUAAUCAGCGACUGAGUUUCUCUAAGGUAGCUUAAAGGCUUUCUGCAGCACCCCAAACCUUCCCUAACUCCACCCAGAACCCACAGGAAGAGUCUCAAAGCGUCCAGUGACAUAUGUUGCCUGUCAGAGCAAAGCAGUUGAACUUUUUACACACAAAAAGAGCUAGGCUGUUUGAGGGAGUUAUUUUUCCUCAUUCUUUAUAUCUUAUCUCCUCGGUCUUUGGUUUAAAUUUGACGGACUUGGAGUUUUAGAGAAUCUGAGCUAGAGAAAACCAUGUCGCCGAGAAACUUUCUGCAUAAAUUCUGGUAACUGUCAGGUGACUAUUCAUUUCCACGGGAGCCGCGAUAAUAACUUUUAUCACUUAGAUCCCAGAAAGUGGGAACCAAUCUAUUGACAGUAACAACUGGAAACCUGAAAUUUAUUUGUAAAUAUUUCUUGCAUCGUACUUGGGUACGCAGUGUGUUUGCUGCAUUUCUAACUAUGGAGUGGGGCUGUCUGUUAAGUUGAAAUGUGCAAUGCAUAAGAGCUUAGCUUCUGAGAUAGACAACUUUGUACUUUUAAUUUAGCUGAAAAUUCACAUUUUAAAGUUGUACAACAACAUCAGUAUUUUCAAACAUGCCAGCAUUUGUUUCUUAAAUUAGUGUCCACAGAAAAACUUAAAAGCGUUCAGACUGGAUAUAGUGUCUUACAUGUAGAAUCCCAACAGUUAGCUGGUAUGGAUCAGACUGGCUAUCAGGUGCAGUCAAAGCCAACUGGAGCCAUUUGGCUAGACCCUGUCUCAAAGGAUCUAAGGCUAAAGAUAUAACAUAGAGGUCUAGCACAGCUCUGGACCUGGACCCUGGUUUUCUUUUUCUUUUCUUUUUUAAGUAAAGUAAAUUAUUAGCAAUGCUCUGAAUAAUAAAUGAAAGGAAUUAAGAACUUUCAUAACAUCCUGCUCAACAAAUGCAUAAAAUCAUAACAUUAACUCAGCCAGAAGUUUAUAUAAAACUCAAUAUUUGUAUUUAUUUAUCCUAAGCAGUGGGCACUGGAGUCACGUGAAGACUAACACUAUUUACAACAAUUUCAGGAACCUAUGAUCUAGUAUAAGAGGGGAUUGAUAUACAAACAAAUAAUUUUUUAAUUUCUUUACAUUUACUCAUUUGAGUGUGUGUGUGUGUGGUGUGUGGUGUGUGUGUGCGUGUGUGCGUGUGUGUGGUGUGUGUGUGUGUGAGUUUGUGUGUGUGUGUGGUGUGUGGUGUGUGUGUGUGUGUGUGUGUGGUGUGUGGUGUGUGUGUGUGUGUGUGUGUGGUGUGUGUGUGUGUGGUAUGUGGUGUGUGUGUGUGGUGUGUGUGUGUGUGGUGUGUGUGUGUGUGUGUGUGUGUGGUGUGUGUGUGUGUGGUAUGUGGUGUGUGUGUGUGGUGUGUGUGUGUGUGGUGUGUGUGUGUAUGUGUGGUGUGUGCGUGUGUGUGUGUGUGGUGUGUGGUGUGUGUGUGUCUGUGUGUGUGUGUGUGGUGUGUGUGUGGUGUGUGUGUGACUGUGUGUGUGUGGUGUGUGUCUGUGUGUGUGUGGUGUGUGUGUAUGCGUGUGUGUGUGUGUGUGUGUGUGUGUGUGUGUGUGUGUGUGUGUUCCCAUAGAGGAAUAUUUGCAGAGUUGGUUCUUCCCUUCCACUGUGUGGCUUCUGGAAAAUCAAACUCAGACAUCGUGGCAAGUGCCUUUUCCCCCUGAGCCAUUUCAACCAUCCCCAGCAGGCAAUCAGUGAUUAAAGCUUGGUGAAGAAGAUUCUCUCUUCUGUCUCUCUGUCUCUGUCUCUCUUUCUCCCUCCCUAAGAUGGGGUUUCAUAUAUUCGGGCUGAUCUUUUAAACUCACUGUGUUGCUGAGAACCCUGAGACCAUUCCUCCUGCCUCUACCUCCCCAAAUUCGGGGAUUCUAGAUGUAUGCCCUCACAUCUAGUUUGAACAGGUGAACCUGAGGUUUGAACCCAGGGCCCUGAGCAAGUUAAGCAGACACUCUCAUAACUGAGGUACACCCUCAACCCAGCGAAAGAGGACUCUUUCUGUGCUAGAUGAGCACGUGGAUGCCACCAAGUCGAUGCUGAGUUGUCACAGAAUCUUCCCAAAAUGUGAUGUGUAAGAAGGGUGAAAAAUGGAGGUCGGGAAGGAGUUUGGAAAAACCGAAAUAACUGUAACUGUUCAGUGGUGCAGGACACACGGUAUAAUAGGGGGCUGGACUGGAGAAGGAGAAAGGAAGGAUUAGGUGAGCUGGGAUACAGAAACGGACAUUCAAAAGCCCCAGCAUAUAGUAAUCUACAAGAUAAUACCAUGAGCCUAUUGUGACGGUCCAUACCUAUAACCUUAGCAUUGGAGAAGUGGAGGCAGGAGGAUCUCUGUGACUUUGAGGACAGCCUGGGCUACCUAGUGAGUCCCAAGCCAUUAUACUCACGGACUGAAACUGUUUCAAAACCCCAAACAACAAAUCAGCACGGUGGGGAUGUAGGGCCUGGCGGUUAGAUUGGAUUUGAAUUCUGUCUUCAGAAGUAAAAUUUCACAAAACCUUCAUCCUUUCAGAACCUCAGUUUUCCUCAUCCUAAAAUAUAUAAAAACCUGGGUACUCUCAGGUUGAAGGGAUGAUUAAAUAGAUUAAUGCAUAUGAAAUGGCAUGGCUGGUGUCUGCCACACACUGAGCACUUGAAAGUCAGAGUCUGUCAUCCUGCCGAAGUGGCAGCUGGAGUGUAGGUAGUAACCGUGAACUACAUCCCAGGUCUAAGGUCAGGGGUGGAUAUUCUACAGGAUCACUUUAAUUGUAGUCACGGCUAUUACCAGUUUCCUCUUCUGUCAACAGGUGAACUAUAAACGUGAGGAAAGUGAACAGGUCUGAGUCAAAGGUUUACUUUUGGUUCGGUGGACGCAGUUUUUGACCAGAUAUGUUAAGAGCAGAGAUGUCCUUUGGCAGAACUAUAAAACAGGCCUGUUCGUUCAUCCUCACCCUCCCAAACCAGCUUUUGUUUUACUUGAACAAAUGUAAAUCGGAUUUCUAAAGAGAUGGGGUCAGUUAAAUAAUACAGGCACGUGCCAAGGUCUAGCUAAACAAACAAACAAACAAACAAACAAACAAAACAAAACAGCAAAGGAGUUGUUUCUGAAGUCAAAACUCACCUCGAGAAUGACUCGGGAAGACAGAAAGAAUGUAAUCUGGGAUUGAGAGGCCACACAGAUAGAGAGGUAGUUUAUUUAAUUGCUGAGAAAAAAAAAAUGGUCCUUAGACAUGUCUUGGCAAAAGAUGGGGAUUGCCUAGUAUACGAAUUUUGCUUGGGAGAUGUUAACAACAAAAGGACAUAAAGGAUUAGCUUAUGUUUUGACAGCCUAGCACUAGUAAGGGUGUCUGUCUGAGUCAGCUAACGCUGGACGAGACAGUGGUCUGAAUCAGCACAAAAUGGCGGAGACACCAGAUGUCAUAAACAUUGAUGCAAUCUGUUACAUAACUAUGUUUGGCAGAGCGCCACUUUUGUGUGAUUCGGUAUAAAUAUGGCCCUGGGGUCAGAGGGCUUAGCUUUUUGCCUUCACCAGCCUGCCUGUAUAUGUUUGUCUGUAGACCUGUGUGUCUACUUCUGUGCUCUCUCUUUAACCUCCCCCUCCCUCCUAACUCAGGGAUCCUUCUCCUCUCCUGGCAUCCUACCAUGAGCCUCACAGGUGUCAACACACUUCUGCCUACCUGAGAAGACACACCAAUGACAGACCAAAGAAGUGAUUCCACCCAAGCCUGGCUCAACGAGCUCCUGAAUGUGCUGAGGUUACAGGAGUAUGGGUGAGGGUUGCUUAUCCGAGCAGCAACCCAAAGCUCCAUCGUACAGUGAACGACGGUUCGCAAGACCAUCUCUGGUGAGGUGUACACAGCUUGUAGGCAGUUAGCCUAGAAGGAGUUUCACUCCCUGGCAAUUGUUACAGCGUAUAUAAUGGAGGUGGGAUGGGACAUGGCGUGUGGUUCUUGUAGAUUUCAGAAGCUUCCAGAGACUUCUGAGGUUUGUUUCCUUUAUGAACCUUAUACACUUCAUUUACUUCGUAGGUCUUAAGGAGCCUCUCUUCUGGUUCUAAGCGGGACUAUUUCAACUGUCUAGGAAUAGCUACUCAAUAUCUGGUUGUCGCAAAGGCCUCCUUAGCUGCUUUAGCAGUGGGGAGAAAGGUGAGGUGCAGGAUGGGGGUGAAUUAGAAGUCCGUUUAAGAAGUGGUUCUUCUGCAGGGACAAAAAUAAAGAGGAGACUGAGGGAAAGGAGGUCCAGUGACAGGCCCAAGUUGAGAUCCAGCUUAAGGGGAGGUUCCAAGGCCUGACACUAUUACUGAUGCUAUGGAGUGCUCACAGGAGAGGCCUACCAUGACGGCCCUCAAAAAGACACAACAAGCAGCUGAAAGAGUCACAUGCAGAUAUUUACACCCAACCAAUGGACAGAAGCCUGGGACCCCUGUGGUUGAAUUAGGGGAAAGCUGGAAGAAGCUGAGGAGGAGGUCAACCCCACAGGAAGACCAGCAGUCUCAAUUAACCAGAACCUCCAAGAUCUCUCAGACACUGAGCCACCAACCAGGCAGCAUACACCAACUGAUAUGAGGCCCCUGACACAUAUACGGCAGAGGACUGCCUGAUCUGGUCUCAGUGAGAGAAGAGGCACCCAACCCUCCAGAGACUUGAGGCUCCAGGGAGUGGGGAGGUCUGGUGGGGUGCAGGGUGGGGGGUGGGGACAUCUUCUUGGAUGGGUGGGGGAUGGGUGUGGAUGUGGGGGAAAGGAGGUGUAGGAUGAGGAACAGAGGGUGGAUUGGGAGGGGAAUAAAGACUGAACUGUAAUAAAAGAUUAAAGAAUAGUGUAUCUUAGUCUUAAAACAUAUCUAGAAUAUUAUUCUACUGUCUUCUAAAAUUUUGAGCUCUCCGAAUAAAACAUAAUUUUAAUAUUCAAAAAGAAAAAGGAGAAGUGGUUCUGAAUUCCACACAGUUCUAUAACUUCUGUCAACCUGACAGAGGCUCGGUAAGGAGUGAAGCCUCCUUCUGGAGCAACACUUGGCAAAUGUGGGCAUGGGGCUAGUUCUAAAAUGGGGAGAAUUUUGGGGGAACAUUUGAUAAAGUCCCUAGACUCUCACCUCCAUUCUAAUCUAUAAUCCUGAAGUUGGAAAAUCCUCCUGAGGUAUCCGACUGCCUGCACACACAGACAAGAAGAUGCAGCCACCAAGAGCGCCUGCAUGGGCGUAGAGCUUUUGUUUCUUGUAGGCUUUUCUUCUUGGCUGGCAAGUAGCCGCUGUCUCAUUGCGUCCUCGGUCUUUCGCAAGCCCAUGUCGUUGGCUGUUAUGUCUUAAUCUCCUUAUCAGGCCACUAGUACUGAAUUAAUGCCUACCUAUAUGACCUCCUGUUACCUCAGUUACUUCUUUAAUGGCCCCAUCAGCAUGUACAGUCACAAUCUGAGGUACGUGUGAACUUGGAGCUAACCCAAUCCAGCCAAGGAAGAGGGGGAACAAAGUACCAAUCCUUUAAGAAUCUGUGGUAGCUUUGGGAAUAGUCACAUAGUCAAAAAUGCCUUUAAAGAUCAAAGAGUAUGUCUUUGUGCUAGUUUGGUAUUUUUUGUUGGUUUUGUUGACUUGGCCUAACAUAGAGUCUCCUCUGUAGAGGGAACCUCAGUUGAGAAAAUGCCUCCAUCAGAUUAGGCAGGUCUGUGGGACAUUUUCUUGAUUAAUGAUUGAUGUGGGAGGGCCUAGCCCAUUGAGGGCAGUGCUACCUCUGGGUAGAUGCUGGUCCUGGUUGUAUAAAAAAGCAUUGAGCAAGCAUGGAUACCAGGGCCGGUAUGCACCGUUUCUCUCUGCCCUGUGCUUCAGUUCCUACCUUGAAUUCCUACCUCGACUUUUUCCCGUAGUGAUGGAGUAUUACCUGAGUCAUAAGCUGAAAUGAACUCUGUCCUGCCCAAAUGCUUUUGGUCAUGUUCUUUAUCCCAGCAACUAAGACAGUCUUUGACGUCAAAAGUUCACAAAAGAUGCGAUAACACUGUGAUGGACAAGAGUAAAAGUCAUGUGGAUAAGACAGAAAGCAGAUUAGUGGUUACCCCGGGCCUGAAGUGGAGAGCAGAUGGAUGCAAACAGAUCCAAAGGAACUGUGUGUGUGUGUGAUGUGUGUGAUGAGUGUGUAUGAUGUGUGUGUGAUGUAUGUGUGAUGUGUGUGUGAUGUGUGUGAUGUGUGUGUGAUGUGUUGUGAUGUGUGUGUGAUGUGUGUGAUGUGUGUGUGAUGUGUGCGUGAUAUGUGUGCGAUGUAUGUGUGAUGAGUGUGUAUGAUGUGUGUGAUGUAUGUGUGAUGUGUGUGUAAUGUGUGUGUGAUGUGUGUGUAUGUGUGUGAUGUGUGCGUGAUAUGUGUAUGUGUGAGUGAUGUGUGAUGUGUGUGUGUGUGUGUUUCUGGCGGGGGUGGGUGUGUGUCACAAAGUUCAUGUGGCAGUCAGAGGAGAACUUUGUGGAAUUGUUUCUCUCCUCUCAUCUUUACAUGGGUUCUGGGGAUUAAACUCAGGUCAUAAGGUCGACAUGGCCAUACCCUUUACCUGCUAAUCCAUAUUGCCAGUCCCCAAAGGAUUUUUGGCACAAUGAAAGUGUUCUAAAACUAGAUUGUGGUGAUUUCUUGCACAGGUGUAUGAAGGCAUUUAAAAUCCAUUGAAUUGUACAAUUAUAAUGUAUACUGGGUAAGUUAUGCAUCAACAAAACUAUGUUUUUAAGAAAUGAGAAUGGACUAUAAAGUAGCUCACUAAAGUAUGAUUAAAAGCAAACAAAACAAAGCAACAACAAAACCAAGAGGUAUUAGGAGUGGUGGUGUGUAUUGGCAGGGGUGCAUACCUGUAAUUCCCAGCACUCGGAGCAGAGGCAAGAGAACUGUGACAAUGAGACUAUCCUGGGCUGCAUAGUGAAUGCAAAGCCAUCCUGGGCUACACCAGAGAGGCCUUGUCACAGACAGACAGACACACAGACACACAGAGAGACAGACAGACACACACACACAUACACACAGAGACAGACAGACACACACAGAGACAGACAGACAGACACACACACAGAGACAGACAGACAGACAGACACACAUACACACACACACACACACACACACA